GAUGAAGAACGUAGCGAAAUGCGAUAAGUAGUGUGAAUUGCAGAAUUCAGUGAAUCAUCGAAUCUUUGAACGCACAUUGCGCCCCUUGGUAUUCCAUGGGGCAUGCCUGUUCGAGCGUCAUUUGUACCUUCAAGCUCUGCUUGGUGUUGGGUGUUUGUCUCGCCUCUGCGUGUAGACUCGCCUCAAAACAAUUGGCAGCCGGCGUAUUGAUUUCGGAGCGCAGUACAUCUCGCGCUUUGCACUCAUAACGACGACGUCCAAAAGUACAUUUUUACACUCUUGACCUCGGAUCAGGUAGGGAUACCCGCUGAACUUUAGCAUAUCAAUAAGCGGAGGA
Molecule: unclassified non-coding RNA, 337 nt
Filed under: soil metagenome
Description: partial contains 5.8S ribosomal RNA, internal transcribed spacer 2, and large subunit ribosomal RNA
Rfam family: 5.8S ribosomal RNA (bases 1-120)
Source: RNAcentral